Molecule: long non-coding RNA, 563 nt
Filed under: Bemisia tabaci
Lineage: Eukaryota; Metazoa; Arthropoda; Insecta; Hemiptera; Aleyrodidae
Description: lncRNA ENSSSA3NGG007783
Source: RNAcentral
CCAAGCAUAUUUAUUUUGGGCUGGAAAAAUAUCCAAUCAAAUUUAUGUUGGGCUUGAAAAAAAGCCAAUCAACACUCCUUUUUUUUAAGUCUAGAAUUUUAAUACAUUUCUUCAUGUUUUUCUUUACCAACCAAUCCUUGAUCUUUGUUUUUCUGCAGUUCCAUUUGGCUUUAACUGCGAUGCAAGACUUGAUUGUCAUUUGCCCUUUUACUAUGAUGCCUAUUCGCAUUUGGAAUGAAAGAAAAAUCAAGAACUUUUCCUUAUUCGGAGACACAGAUCAAGACAUCAUUGCUCUCUCAGAAGGAGAUACCCCUUCUGUAUUGAUGCUGACCAUGCCAAGCCUUCAAAUCAAGCGUACUAUACACAUUCAAGGAAAAGGAUAUCUAAUUGAUAACGCUCACAGCUUGGAUGAUUUCUUGUUUCUAGAAAAGUGCAAGGAUUUGAAUUUAAUACAUGUUAAAUCAGUUGUGGAGAGCAUGCCAGAGUUCCGGUUGGACAGGUUACUAAAAGAGGGAAAUUCGACCAAGCAGAAGCCUUUGGACAGAAGUUCGGUUUGCCGGUAG